Non-coding RNA from Cinara cedri, 407 nucleotides. Lineage: Eukaryota; Metazoa; Arthropoda; Insecta; Hemiptera; Aphididae. The record is from the annotation of a GenBank genome assembly.
AAUUACAAUAAUGCAUUAUAACGGUGGCGUUAUUGUAUUUUGUCGUUCGACGGUAUCGUGUAACGAAUUGAUUGUUAACCGCGGAUUAAUUAUAAGAUUGACAAUACGUUAAACGGGAAUCGGGCACGGGGACGUUUUGCAGAACGGAAAAUGAACUUCGAUCGUUAUUUAUUAGUAGGGCCCGGAUUUACACGCACUCGCCUGUUGUUUUUUUUUUUUUUUUUUACGAUUUUUCAUUGCAUUUGUAAUAAAUAAAUUAUUGGUAAUGUCACAGAAAACCGCAUUUGCGGGUUUCAAGAUUCGUGUAACGGACUUUGAAAUCGGAUAUUUAGAAUAUCGGUUUUAAAAUCCAAAUGUUGAGUCUUACAAUGUGUACAAAAUUAUAAUAAUAAUCGGUGGUCGGGAUG